GACGAACGCUGGCGGCGUGCUUAACACAUGCAAGUCGAACGGUGAUGCGCCUUCCUUUUUGGUGGGUGUGGAUGAGUGGCGAACGGGUGAGUAACACGUGAGUAACCUGCCCCCUUCUUCUGGAUAACCGCAUGAAAGUGUGGCUAAUACGGGAUAUUCUGGGUCUGUCGCAUGAUGGGUCUGGGAAAGAUAUUGUUUCGGUGGGGGAUGGGCUCGCGGCCUAUCAGCUUGUUGGUGGGGUGAUGGCCUACCAAGGCGGUGACGGGUAGCCGGCCUGAGAGGGUGGACGGUCACACUGGGACUGAGACACGGCCCAGACUCCUACGGGAGGCAGCAGUGGGGAAUAUUGCACAAUGGGCGCAAGCCUGAUGCAGCGACGCCGCGUGAGGGAUGGAGGCCUUCGGGUUGUGAACCUCUUUCGCCAGUGAAGCAGGCCUGCCUCGUUUGUGGGUGGGUUGACGGUAGCUGGAUAAGAAGCGCCGGCUAACUACGUG
Molecule: ribosomal RNA, 494 nt
Filed under: uncultured bacterium
Lineage: Bacteria
Description: partial 16S ribosomal RNA
Rfam family: Bacterial small subunit ribosomal RNA
Source: RNAcentral